CCGUAGCUUGCUGUGUAAGUCCAUUGGGAAAUCGACCAGCUCAACUGGUCGGCGUCCGGUGGAAACUACACAGCUUGGGGCCGAGAGACUCAACGGGUACGUCCGGGGUAGGAGUGAAAUCCUGUAAUCCUGGACGGACCACCAAUGGGGAAACCACGUUGAGAGACCGGACCCGACAGUGAGGGACGAAAGCCAGGGUCUCGAACCGGAUUAGAUACCCGGGUAGUCCUGGCCGUAAACAAUGCCCGCUAGGUAUGGCGCAGGCUACGAGCCUGUGCUAUGCCGUAGCGAAGGCGCUAAGCGGGCCGCCUGGGAAGUACGUUCGCAAGAAUGAAACUUAAAGGAAUUGGCGGGGGAGCACUACAACCGGAGGAGCCUGCGGUUUAAUUGGACUCAACGCCGGACAUCUCACCAGCACCGACAAUGUGCAGUGAAGGUCAGUUUGAUGAGCUUACUGGAGCCAUUGAGAGGAGGUGCAUGGCCGCCGUCAGCUCGUACCGUGAGGCAUCCUGUUAAGUCAGGCAACGAGCGAGAUCCGCACUUCUAGUUGCCAGCAACACCAUUGGUGGUUGGGUACACUAGAAGGACUGCCACGGCUAACGUGGAGGAGGGAGCGGGCAACGGUAGGUCAGCAUGCCCCGAAUGUGCUGGGCAACACGCGGGCUACAAUGGCUGUGACAAUGAGAAGCUAUCCCGAGAGGGAGCGCUAAUCCCCUAAACGCAGUCGUAGUUCGGAU
Molecule: ribosomal RNA, 737 nt
Filed under: uncultured Halobacteria archaeon
Lineage: Archaea; Methanobacteriati; Methanobacteriota; Halobacteria
Description: bacterial SSU rRNA
Rfam family: Archaeal small subunit ribosomal RNA
Source: RNAcentral